GGGACACGUGGUAUCCUGUCUGAAUAUGGGGGGACCAUCCUCCAAGGCUAAAUACUCCUGACUGACCGAUAGUGAACCAGUACCGUGAGGGAAAGGCGAAAAGAACCCCGGCGAGGGGAGUGAAAAAGAACCUGAAACCGUGUACGUACAAGCAGUGGGAGCCUCUUAAUGGGGUGACUGCGUACCUUUUGUAUAAUGGGUCAGCGACUUAUAUUCUGUAGCAAGGUUAACCGAAUAGGGGAGCCGAAGGGAAACCGAGUCUUAACUGGGCGUUAAGUUGCAGGGUAUAGACCCGAAACCCGGUGAUCUAGCCAUGGGCAGGUUGAAGGUUGGGUAACACUAACUGGAGGACCGAACCGACUAAUGUUGAAAAAUUAGCGGAUGACUUGUGGCUGGGGGUGAAAGGCCAAUCAAACCGGGAGAUAGCUGGUUCUCCCCGAAAGCUAUUUAGGUAGCGCCUCGUGAAUUCAUCUCCGGGGGUAGAGCACUGUUUCGGCAAGGGGGUCAUCCCGACUUACCAACCCGAUGCAAACUGCGAAUACCGGAGAAUGUUAUCACGGGAGACACACGGCGGGUGCUAACGUCCGUCGUGAAGAGGGAAACAACCCAGACCGCCAGCUAAGGUCCCAAAGUCAUGGUUAAGUGGGAAACGAUGUGGGAAGGCCCAGACAGCCAGGAUGUUGGCUUAGAAGCAGCCAUCAUUUAAAGAAAGCGUAAUAGCUCACUGGUCGAGUCGGCCUGCGCGGAAGAUGUAACGGGGCUAAACCAUGCACCGAAGCUGCGGCAGCGACACUAUGUGUUGUUGGGUAGGGGAGCGUUCUGUAAGCCUGUGAAGGUGGCCUGUGAGGGUUGCUGGAGGUAUCAGAAGUGCGAAUGCUGACAUAAGUAACGAUAAAGCGGGUGAAAAGCCCGCUCGCCGGAAGACCAAGGGUUCCUGUCCAACGUUAAUCGGGGCAGGGUGAGUCGACCCCUAAGGCGAGGCCGAAAGGCGUAGUCGAUGGGAAACAGGUUAAUAUUCCUGUACUUGGUGUUACUGCGAAGGGGGGACGGAGAAGGCUAUGUUGGCCGGGCGACGGUUGUCCCGGUUUAAGCGUGUAGGCUGGUUUUCCAGGCAAAUCCGGAAAACCAAGGCUGAGGCGUGAUGACGAGGCACUACGGUGCUGAAGCGACAAAUGCCCUGCUUCCAGGAAAAGCCUCUAAGCAUCAGGUAACAUCAAAUCGUACCCCAAACCGACACAGGUGGUCAGGUAGAGAAUACCAAGGCGCUUGAGAGAACUCGGGUGAAGGAACUAGGCAAAAUGGUGCCGUAACUUCGGGAGAAGGCACGCUGAUAUGUAGGUGAAGCGACUUGCUCGUGGAGCUGAAAUCAGUCGAAGAUACCAGCUGGCUGCAACUGUUUAUUAAAAACACAGCACUGUGCAAACACGAAAGUGGACGUAUACGGUGUGACGCCUGCCCGGUGCCGGAAGGUUAAUUGAUGGGGUUAGCGGUAACGCGAAGCUCUUGAUCGAAGCCCCGGUAAACGGCGGCCGUAACUAUAACGGUCCUAAGGUAGCGAAAUUCCUUGUCGGGUAAGUUCCGACCUGCACGAAUGGCGUAAUGAUGGCCAGGCUGUCUCCACCCGAGACUCAGUGAAAUUGAACUCGCUGUGAAGAUGCAGUGUACCCGCGGCAAGACGGAAAGACCCCGUGAACCUUUACUAUAGCUUGACACUGAACAUUGAGCCUUGAUGUGUAGGAUAGGUGGGAGGCUUUGAAGUGUGGACGCCAGUCUGCAUGGAGCCGACCUUGAAAUACCACCCUUUAAUGUUUGAUGUUCUAACGUUGGCCCGUAAUCCGGGUUGCGGACAGUGUCUGGUGGGUAGUUUGACUGGGGCGGUCUCCUCCUAAAGAGUAACGGAGGAGCACGAAGGUUGGCUAAUCCUGGUCGGACAUCAGGAGGUUAGUGCAAUGGCAUAAGCCAGCUUGACUGCGAGCGUGACGGCGCGAGCAGGUGCGAAAGCAGGUCAUAGUGAUCCGGUGGUUCUGAAUGGAAGGGCCAUCGCUCAACGGAUAAAAGGUACUCCGGGGAUAACAGGCUGAUACCGCCCAAGAGUUCAUAUCGACGGCGGUGUUUGGCACCUCGAUGUCGGCUCAUCACAUCCUGGGGCUGAAGUAGGUCCCAAGGGUAUGGCUGUUCGCCAUUUAAAGUGGUACGCGAGCUGGGUUUAGAACGUCGUGAGACAGUUCGGUCCCUAUCUGCCGUGGGCGCUGGAGAACUGAGGGGGGCUGCUCCUAGUACGAGAGGACCGGAGUGGACGCAUCACUGGUGUUCGGGUUGUCAUGCCAAUGGCACUGCCCGGUAGCUAAAUGCGGAAGAGAUAAGUGCUGAAAGCAUCUAAGCACGAAACUUGCCCCGAGAUGAGUUCUCCCUGAGACUUAGAGUCUCCUGAAGGAACGUUGAAGACGACGACGUUGAUAGGCCGGGUGUGUAAGCGCAGCGAUGCGUUGAGCUAACCGGUACUAAUGAACCGUGAGGCUUAACCUUACAACGCCGAAG
This 2538-nucleotide ribosomal RNA is filed under the name Escherichia coli. Its description in RNAcentral is "partial 23S ribosomal RNA". It matches the Rfam family "Bacterial large subunit ribosomal RNA", at positions 419 to 2925 of the family's 2925-position model. The record is from RNAcentral. Lineage: Bacteria; Pseudomonadati; Pseudomonadota; Gammaproteobacteria; Enterobacterales; Enterobacteriaceae.